AUUGAACGCUGGCGGAAUGCUUUACACAUGCAAGUCGAACGGCAGCAUAGGUGCUUGCACCUGAUGGCGAGUGGCGAACGGGUGAGUAAUACAUCGGAACGUGCCCAGUCGUGGGGGAUAACGUAGCGAAAGUUACGCUAAUACCGCAUACGAUCUACGGAUGAAAGCGGGGGACCGUAAGGCCUCGCGCGAUUGGAGCGGCCGAUGUCAGAUUAGGUAGUUGGUGGGGUAAAGGCCCACCAAGCCAACGAUCUGUAGCUGGUCUGAGAGGACGACCAGCCACACUGGGACUGAGACACGGCCCAGACUCCUACGGGAGGCAGCAGUGGGGAAUUUUGGACAAUGGGCGCAAGCCUGAUCCAGCCAUUCCCCGUGCAGGAUGAAGGCCUUCGGGUUGUAAACUGCUUUUGUACGGAACGAAAAGCUCUGGGUUAAUACCCCGGGGUCAUGACGGUACCGUAAGAAUAAGCACCGGCUAACUACGUGCCAGCCGCCGCAGUAA
Molecule: ribosomal RNA, 502 nt
Filed under: uncultured bacterium
Lineage: Bacteria
Description: partial 16S ribosomal RNA
Rfam family: Bacterial small subunit ribosomal RNA
Source: RNAcentral